UUGGACAUUAGGAAAAGUUCUAACAUCAGGUGUUAAACACUGGAAUAAAUUGCUAUGGAGUUGUAGAAUCUUCAUCUCUGGAAAUAUUAAGAGUGCUAGAUAAAUGUCAUCAGGAAUGGUCGAGACAGA
This is a non-coding RNA of Chelonoidis abingdonii (Abingdon island giant tortoise), 129 nucleotides long. NCBI's taxonomy places the organism in Eukaryota, Metazoa, Chordata, Testudines, Testudinidae. The record is from RefSeq and is a predicted model, not a curated record.